Molecule: ribosomal RNA, 277 nt
Filed under: uncultured bacterium
Lineage: Bacteria
Description: partial 16S ribosomal RNA
Rfam family: Bacterial small subunit ribosomal RNA
Source: RNAcentral
GACGAACGCUGGCGGCGUGCUUAACACAUGCAAGUCGAACGGUGAACCGCUUUCGGGCGGGGAUCAGUGGCGAACGGGUGAGUAACACGUGGGUAACCUGCCCUCCACUCUGGGAUAACUCCGGGAAACCGGGGCUAAUACCGGAUACGACCUGAGGCGGCAUCGCCUCGGGUGGAAAGUUUUUCGGUGGAGGAUGGACCCGCGGCCUAUCAGCUUGUUGGUGGGGUAAUGGCCUACCAAGGCGAUGACGGGUAGCCGGCCUGAGAGGGCGACCGGC